This 253-nucleotide ribosomal RNA is filed under the name uncultured bacterium. Its description in RNAcentral is "partial 16S ribosomal RNA". It matches the Rfam family "Bacterial small subunit ribosomal RNA", at positions 524 to 776 of the family's 1533-position model. The record is from RNAcentral.
UACGUAGGUGGCAAGCGUUGUCCGGAUUUACUGGGCGUAAAGAGCGCGCCGGCGGUGCGAUCAGUCGAAUGUGAAAGCCCCCGGCUCAACUGGGGAGGGUCAUUCGAUACUGUCGGACUCGAAGGCAGGAGAGGGAAGCGGAAUUCCCGGUGUAGUGGUGAAAUGCGUAGAUAUCGGGAGGAACACCAGUGGCGAAGGCGGCUUCCUGGCCUGUUCUUGACGCUGAGGCGCGAAAGCUAGGGGAGCAAACGGG